This 2238-nucleotide long non-coding RNA is filed under the name Sus scrofa (pig). RNAcentral's name for it is "lncRNA (ENSSSCG00050034352.1)". The record is from RNAcentral. Lineage: Eukaryota; Metazoa; Chordata; Mammalia; Artiodactyla; Suidae.
AGGGAGAAGGGAGCUGAGCCCUCAGCCUCAGAAGAAAGACAUUGAACAACUUGAGAGUGAAAGAAAAGGAGCGCAUGAGUUGAGAGGAGAUAUUCCAUCACCCUUUCAGCUGACAAUACACCACUCUCCAGGCAGGAGGUUGGGCUGGAAGUUUGCGGACUACACCCCGAGGCCUGUCCUCUUCCCUGGAAGAAAUAAGAAGAAAGGAGCGCGCGGGCGGCCCGAGCCUCGGCGGCGGCGGCGGCGGCGGCAGCGACGGCGCUGACACCUCCCACCAUGGACAGCUUCGACAUAGCCCUGCUCCAGGAAUGGGACCUCGAGUCGCUGUGGUGAGUCCCGGUGCCGGCCGGCCCGCCGAACGAGCGAGCGGCGAGGGGCGAGGGGCGGCCUCACCUGGGCCGGGGGCUCGGGCGGCCGGCCGCCGUGGGGGCGGGGUGGGUCGGGGGUGCCUGCGGCGCCGACCCCUUACUGCUUGCCCCGAUGGGAGGCCCGGCCGCCCUCGGGUCUUCUCGGCCCUCUCUCCCGCGCCCUACCCCUGGCGCUGCCGCCCCAGCCCGGGGGCCAGUGAUCUGGGGAGCCUGGGACGGAGCGCAGCCGUGGAGAGAAAAGGAACCGAUUUCUGGGAAAUGUCAGUAGUGCCCAGGGAUCCACCCCUCGGUCCCCUAGCCCUUCUCACCUCCCUUCCCUCCGUUGGCGCCCCUCCCUCUUCUCCGCGACCCCCUGGAGUUGGGGCUGCAGCGAAGUGCCCUUAGAGGAUGCUCCAGCCUCCCGCCUGUCUGCGCUGGGUCCUGGCGGCCGCAUCCUCUCUGUCUCUCCCGCCCACUCCCACCCGAGACGGAAAGUGCACCCGAGGGCAGGGGGCGAGGGUUUCUCUGGGCGGGAAUUCCAGGCCUGGGAGCCUCAUUUCCGCGAGGUUCGCAAUUCCUUGGGGCCCUCUCUUCACACCUCGCCUCGCUACAGUCCCACUCCUCUCCCCGCUCCAGCCCACCGGCGCCCUGGGUGUCCCUUUAUUCCACGCUCACAGCUCGCAGCCUGGGGAGCGGGCGGCCGGGGGAGCCCUCCGGGUUCUGUGGCGCGGGGUUCUCACAUUGAGGAGCUGCUGUAGGUAAAGCGCCGCUGGAAGCAGUUUAAUUCUAGUUGCGGGUGUCUUAAAAAUCCCAUUGGCUGCCUCCACGUCCCUCUUAUCCCCCCUCCCCCUCCCCAGUCUCCUAAAGGUUUCCAACCAGCCCUAUUCAGGUGGUAAAAUUACUGCUUGCAUAUUCCUGGAGGAACUUGAGUUAUGUUUAAUAUUUACGGGAAUGAACAUCUGUGAAACAAGCAUAUUAACUGCACUCUGUUCUGCCUCUGGUAACGGCUUAUUGUAGAGCGGAGGUUUCUUUUCUUUUUUAUACCCCCCCUCUUUCUUCUUGAAUUCAGGAAAGAGUUCACAUGUGUCUAAAACUGCAAGUGGUGUGCACAUGAAUAUGCAACGUGCAGUUUUAAAGCUAAACUGCCUUAUGAUUUAUAGAUCAUUUAGAUGAUAUGUGGAUUCGGGUAUGUUUUCAGUGAUUUAGGCUUCCAGUGACUGAGCUGUCAAAUGCCAGGUGUAACUAACAAAACUGGACACAAAGCUGGUUCAUUAUGGAGCAGUUUCUUAUAAAAGAUCCCAGGAUGAGUUAAGUACAGCUUGCUUUGCAUAAUGCUGGCACCUAUAAAAUACACAAGGAUGGGCCCUAAUGUAAUAAAACUUUUAUAUAUUACACUGGAAACUUCAAAGAACCGGUGUAGAAAGAAUAUGAAACAUGUUAUUACUCUAUAAAAGUUGCUAAUUGCUGUGUUGUUGCUCCUGGGGUUAUUUCAUGUUUUCAUUUACAAAUAUCUAUUAUUUUACAGGUUUACACUUAGAAAUGUUGGUUUCUGGCUCAAGUUCAGUAGGUUUGCAGAUAGUAACUGUGCUUUCAAAAUGAUAUUUGCUUUUCAAAGGCAGUUUUUCAGUCAAAGGGAAGCACUUUUUGUUUGGCAGAUUUGUGUGCUGCUUGUCUGCUUGCUGACUCAAAACUAAAGCCCCCUUAUGACUUUUACGAGUAAUAUUUUGGAAUUAGCAGCUAUAAUCUGUGGCUUUUCCACACAGGCCAGAGCUCUCUUGCCCUAUGCAUCUUUAGUUCCCAGCGGGUUACCUGCAGCUCAGUUACACAAUAAAUGUCUGUUGAAGAGCCUUGAGAUUUACAUUAGUUGAAGUACUUUUCUUAUUGUUAGAAA